Bombus terrestris (buff-tailed bumblebee) is the source of this 507-nucleotide long non-coding RNA. RefSeq lists it as uncharacterized. NCBI's taxonomy places the organism in Eukaryota, Metazoa, Arthropoda, Insecta, Hymenoptera, Apidae. The record is from RefSeq and is a predicted model, not a curated record. The transcript is spliced from 2 exons.
AACCAUCCUAUGGUAAAAUAUCAUGUUAAAUAUUUCUUUGUUUGUUAUUUUAAGCGCACUGUUCUCUCCUUCGAAAGGCUACGAAACAUUCCGCCGAAUACACCGUGUUACUAAACACAUUUUAACUGUAUGGUAACAUCGAACCGAAGAUUGACUUGGUACUUUUACUGGUAACUUAUUAACGCUAUGAUUCGCUCAACGAAUCGAGUCAGUCAAGAAACUUCCGUGGUAGGUAACUCCUGGUAGAUGCAGUUAUUUUUACUAUCUCUAUAAGAACUCUUUCGAUACUGUUACUCUUUAGUUCUUUUUUAUAGAUAUUUCAUAUAACGUUCUUUCUAUUUGAACUCAUAUAAUUUCACUUGCUUUUUCCAAUUAGCGAUAUCUGAAAGAAUUAGAAAGUAGCAAAAAGGAUUGUAUAUCUUGCAGAAUACACAAUCAAAGCACUGUUUAUUUUGUAUUGUGUUUUAUAUAAAUUGAUGUAUCCAAUAUAUCUCAGUACAAAAAUUA